Molecule: long non-coding RNA, 785 nt
Organism: Hippocampus zosterae (dwarf seahorse)
Lineage: Eukaryota; Metazoa; Chordata; Actinopteri; Syngnathiformes; Syngnathidae
Exons: 2
Source: RefSeq, a predicted model, not a curated record
GUGUGAUUGUGUGUGUGUGUGUGUGUGUGAGGCAGACUGGAGAGCAUAAUGUAUGUCAACCGUGUGAAGAACAAUGGCGCAUUCCUGUGAAUUCAUCUUGGCAAAGAGCUCUUGAGGCUUAAAAUGAAGCAAAAGAGCUCUUGACCCUGCAACUGCCAAGAGCCUGAACAAGACGGCCAGCUACCAAUGUUGAUGCAGCAGGACCUUGAAUGGCGCACGGGUCGCACGAUUCACAAGCUUUCCUUGAAAACUACGGCUUCCGGCCACUGUCAGGCUGGAGGAGAAACACGACUUUAGCCUAUUUUGUGAAACUUGAACGCAUAACUUCUCCAAACUCUUCAAUCUAAGGAAAACCAGCUGGAAGAUAAAUGGACUUCGGAUCGGCGCGACUUUGUUGAUUCUCAUGACAAGCCCCGGUUACGCAAGAAGGUGCAGCGACACACUGGGCUGCGAGAGGUGAGAACUGCAGUACUGGCAGCAGAUCUGACGAGGCAAUCUAAUGAUCAGUCACCUGCGUUUAGGAGAGAAAAAACAGACAUCCACGCCCUCUUCCUCGCUCCUCAGGGGCAUCUGGAAGCGCAAGCUGCACCAAACAUCAAACGCUGGUAAUGAGAGCAAUUGGGAGAAGGUGUGUCCAGGAAGCGAGGGGUGUGAAGAGGUUGUCAAGACGGAACAGUUGUUGGGUACAAGAGAGGCGACGGAAACAGGCCAAGCUCUACGGGCCACAAAUUCAAACCGGUCGGAUGGUAUCGCCAGCAAAUCUCCAGAGGAUAAAAAUAAAUAAA